GAAAUCUGCGAAGAUCUCUUUAAUAUCCCUCACGCAUUCAUCACUGCUUCCAUCUCGACCUAGAGUACACACAACAUUAAAUGAAACGUCUUCCUGAUAUGGUGCCAGUUUUUUCAUCCCUGACUUGACUAGCAACAAAGAUGACACAUUCAGCUUGAUAUUUCAUAAAAAUAAACACAUUUCCUGUUUGCUUUCAAUGAUUUUAUUGAAGAAUAAACCAUUGCAGCGGUCACAUAAUUUUUUCUUUUUUUUCUUCUCUUUUUUUUUUUGCUUUUAAGUUGCUUGAGAAAGAAAAGUCUUACACAUGCACUUUUAUACAAAGAGCGCAGGCCAAACUUAUCGCAACCCUAAGCGGUUUUAGGUGACCUUCUGGGUCAGUCAUCUUUAAGCCAAAGUUUAAUGAACAACGAGCAGUUUGCUUUUAGCUAUAAGCGAGUCUCCAACAAAUGUAAAGCUGUGUCUGAGCGCUGCCACAUGUAAGGAGAGCUUCUUCACCGGCAGCAGCAGAAGCAAAAACCAAUUGGUUGAAUUUUGCGUUUAGACGAAAAAUGUCGCCCCCAAAUUGGUGGAUGUGUGCUUCAACAAAUUAAGGAUUGAAUUUGGGGAAUAUUCUUCUUUUUUUGAUGGGGGAUUUUUUAUGUGGGUGAGCAGUUCUUCAAUUCGAGCCCCGAGCUGCUUUUUAAACACCCUGAUUUACUAGUAGCAGACAUGCUUCCCUUUCACACGGCUGUGUUUUUCGCCUACGCGCUGUUACGACAUUUCCAUACACCAGUGGAGACAGUAUUCCCGAAAGAAUGGAAGGACUUGCAUUCAACUACCAAUAAAAAGCGAACAAGGUAUCCUUAUUCCAGAAAAAAAAAAUCACUGGCAAUCAAUCACCCCGGUGAAAUUUACAGGGUAUAGGCCUGUGCAAAUUUGCAGCUUACAUUGAGAUUUUUUGGUGUUUCGGAAGCUUUAUGAUGACAAAUAAAGGCGCUGCCUUUAGAUACAAGCAUAUUUGUUCACGUGAUUGUUCUCUUCUUCAAGCAGGCUCUUACCUCACCAGUCCAUUUUGAUAAAGGGUGGCGUUUAUUUCCUCGUCUCGGCUGUGUGAUUGUGAAAAUGUUCCUCUCUCUACUUCUUUUUUUAUCUUCCCAUUUUGAGGAUUGCAACUCGCCCUUACUCCACCAUUCAAAGGCAAGCUCAUGUGCACUUUGGAAGGACUUUAAUUAUAUAUUUUUAAAAAUACAGCUUCUAUAGCAACCAUCCCUGCACUUUUGCUGCUUUUGUGUCUGCAGAAAGGAUCUCAAAUAAAGAAAUUUGAAGGAUUUCAAGUAAUGUUUUGCGUAAAUUCACAACAAACGCACAUCUUUCAAAUCAUUUUGGACAUUUUUUAUUUUUUGUGCUUAUGCCAAUGGGCCUACCAGAGCGUUUUAAAGAAUGAUUUAUGGGGAAAAUGACAUGUGAGUUUUUCAUGCAGAUGGGCAUGGAUUGUAUUCAAAUAAAGCGCAUCAUCUCCUCG
Non-coding RNA from Oryzias latipes (Japanese medaka), 1501 nucleotides. The record is from RefSeq and is a predicted model, not a curated record. Lineage: Eukaryota; Metazoa; Chordata; Actinopteri; Beloniformes; Adrianichthyidae.